UGGGGAAUAUUGCGCAAUGGGGGAAACCCUGACGCAGCAACGCCGCGUGAAGGAUGAAGGUUUUCGGAUUGUAAACUUCUUUGAUUGGGGACGAAUAAAUGACGGUACCCAAAAAACAAGCCACGGCUAACUACGUGCCAGCAGCCGCGGUAAUACGUAGGUGGCGAGCGUUGUCCGGAAUUACUGGGUGUAAAGGGCGUGUAGGCGGGAAUGUAAGUCAGAUGUGAAAUUCCGAGGCUCAACCUCGGCGCUGCAUCUGAAACUAUAUUUCUUGAGUGCUGGAGAGGAAAGCGGAAUUCCUAGUGUAGCGGUGAAAUGCGUAGAUAUUAGGAGGAACACCAGUGGCGAAGGCGGCUUUCUGGACAGUAACUGACGCUGAGGCGCGAAAGCGUGGGGAGCAAACAGG
RNAcentral lists this ribosomal RNA (406 nucleotides) under uncultured bacterium. Its description in RNAcentral is "bacterial SSU rRNA". It matches the Rfam family "Bacterial small subunit ribosomal RNA", at positions 355 to 776 of the family's 1533-position model. The record is from RNAcentral.